UACCUUUCGUCACCGCAAGUGAAUUUGCCCUGCCAGAUUUACCAGUAGAGCUUUGGGCCAACAUCUUGAGGUGUUUGGACCCAUCUUCGCUUCUGACAGCCACCAGAUCCAGCGAUCCAUGGAAACGCAUCGCCCAAGGAGAUCCGGUCUUGAGGAAGACCGUCAAAAACCAGCUAGUAUUGGAAAAACGAAAGCGGCGAGAGGAGAUGCUGAAUCCUGGACUGUUGCUCUCCAUAACCAGAGAAGGAUCGGGAAGACUGUUUGGAUCCAACACCGGCAAAGUUCUUCGGACGCAGUUUUCAGUAAAAGGACCAGUCAAAACCCAGGAAAAAAGAAAACGGCGCCAGAAUAAAGACGCUGGACCUCUUCGAAAAAAAAUAAUUCAUGGGAAUGAAUAUUGUAAAACAUUGAGAUGUUUAUAAAACCAUUGUAAAUAUACGUGUUAUUUUUA
This is a long non-coding RNA of Zophobas morio, 451 nucleotides long. RefSeq lists it as uncharacterized. The transcript is spliced from 2 exons. NCBI's taxonomy places the organism in Eukaryota, Metazoa, Arthropoda, Insecta, Coleoptera, Tenebrionidae. The record is from RefSeq and is a predicted model, not a curated record.